GAUGAACGCUGGCGGCGUGCUUAACACAUGCAAGUCGAACGGGAUCCAAGGGGUGCUUGCACUUUUUGGUGAGAGUGGCGAACGGGUGAGUAACACGUGAGUAACCUGUCCUUUUCUUUGGGAUAAGCAUUCGAAAGGGUGUUUAAUACCUUAUGUUCUGUCUGCCUCGCAUGGGGUGGGUGGGAAAGGCUUUGGCCGGAUUUGGGUGGGCUCGCGGUCUAUCAGCUUGUUGGUGGGGUGAUGGCUUACCAAGGCUUUGACGGGUAGCCGGCCUGAGAGGGUGGUCGGUCACAGUGGGACUGAGAUACGGCCCAGACUCCUGCGGGAGGCAGCAGUGGGGGAUAUUGCACAAUGGGCGAAAGCCUGAUGCAGCGACGCCGCGUGGGGGAUGAAGGCCUGCGGGUUGUAAACUUCUUUUGCUCUGAACAAGGCAUGCCAGUGGGUGUGUUGAGUGUAGGGGUUGAUUAGCGCCGGCUAACUACGUG
RNAcentral lists this ribosomal RNA (485 nucleotides) under uncultured bacterium. RNAcentral describes it as "partial 16S ribosomal RNA". It matches the Rfam family "Bacterial small subunit ribosomal RNA", at positions 28 to 507 of the family's 1533-position model. The record is from RNAcentral.